GUGGCAUUCGGCCGUCAUAGCAGCUGCUCAUAGGCACCGCUGUGCUGCUGCAGGAUGCCCUGGUCCUGCCCAUCCCAACAUCGUCCUCACCGCAAUCGGUCACCCAGAUUGAGGCUCCAGCGGUGGAAGUAGUAGGAGCACAUUCUCCAAGCCGAUUGGGAUUCUCCAAGCCUGGUUCUCGGUGUACCAUCCUCCUGAUGUUCCGCUGGCCGAUCCUCUGUUGAAACCGUCGCCGUGAACGACCGCUCUCCCCCGCGUGCAGCAAUCUCCAGGCUCCAGGUCAAACGUGAAGCUGAAACGUCUCCUUGCGUUUCACGUUGGCCGUCCACUGCAACUCAAGUGGGGGCCCGGCUGGCCCUUCAAUCUGAUACUCGCUGCUAGGGUAACUUCAGCGUGAAUGAUGAUCCUUCAUCCAGAAAUUGCGUGCGUGCCUCGCACUCGCUUGUUCAACGCUUGCACAACCCGGGACACGACACAGGAGAAUCUCGAUCGACAAGGCUUUGUUACGUGGUUUGCGGCACAGCUUCAUCUGCGUUACAGUCUCAA
Anopheles merus is the source of this 546-nucleotide long non-coding RNA. RefSeq lists it as uncharacterized. Lineage: Eukaryota; Metazoa; Arthropoda; Insecta; Diptera; Culicidae. The transcript has 3 exons. The record is from RefSeq and is a predicted model, not a curated record.